GCGGAAGUAGUUCAGUGGUAGAACAUCACCUUGCCAAGGUGGGGGUCGCGGGUUCGAACCCCGUCUUCCGCUCUA
Molecule: transfer RNA, 75 nt
Filed under: Listeria monocytogenes
Lineage: Bacteria; Bacillati; Bacillota; Bacilli; Caryophanales; Listeriaceae
Description: tRNA-Gly
Rfam family: tRNA
About the family: Transfer RNA (tRNA) molecules are approximately 80 nucleotides in length. Their secondary structure includes four short double-helical elements and three loops (D, anti-codon, and T loops).
Source: RNAcentral